GUUUCUGUAGUGUAGUGGUUAUCACGUUCGCCUCACACGCGAAAAGUUCCCGGGUUCGAAACCGGGGUAGAAAACA
This 76-nucleotide transfer RNA is filed under the name Merluccius polli (Benguela hake). RNAcentral's name for it is "tRNA-Val". It matches the Rfam family "tRNA". From Rfam's summary of the family: Transfer RNA (tRNA) molecules are approximately 80 nucleotides in length. Their secondary structure includes four short double-helical elements and three loops (D, anti-codon, and T loops). The record is from RNAcentral. Lineage: Eukaryota; Metazoa; Chordata; Actinopteri; Gadiformes; Merlucciidae.